RNAcentral lists this transfer-messenger RNA (365 nucleotides) under Candidatus Babelota bacterium. Its description in RNAcentral is "Candidatus Dependentiae bacterium transfer-messenger RNA". It matches the Rfam family "transfer-messenger RNA". From Rfam's summary of the family: Bacterial tmRNA, also known as 10Sa RNA or SsrA, is named for its dual tRNA and mRNA-like properties. The record is from RNAcentral. RNAcentral also lists the same sequence under 2 other names.
GGGGGCGUAAUGGCUUCGACGUGUUAUUGACAGCUUUAAGAGCAUGUCGAGCGUUGGCUAAGUGCUCGUUAAACAAUUGGUCAAAAAAAGAAAUGCAGAGACAGAAAUGCCUGCAGUUGCUCUUGCCUAAGUAAGUAGCAACCUUAUCAACUAAACGUGCCUAUCAGUUCGGUUGAUUCGUAGUAGAUCAGAUAGGACCAUCGAGUAAGAUUCUUUAGGUGCGUAGCUCGAUUGGUAUCACGAACCUGACGUAUCUGACAGGUCAUGUCUUCGAGAUGUCAGAUAUGAAGAAUCGAAGGCUAAACAUGUAGCGCUUGAGGUUUGAUAUAGUGCGGACAUGGGUUCGACUCCCAUCGCCUCCACCA